GGGGUCGUGGCCUAGUCCGGGAAGGCGGCUGACUCCAGAGGCAACGUGCCCGGUGACGACACUCCAGGGUUGAUAUACUGAGCGGCCGACUGAUCAUCGGCUCGCGUUGAUGACCCUCUGGAGUUCCGAGGCACACACCGGAGAUAUCAGCCGAUCGGGGGUUCAAAUCCCUCCGACCCCA
RNAcentral lists this transfer RNA (181 nucleotides) under Halomicrobium mukohataei DSM 12286. It matches the Rfam family "tRNA". From Rfam's summary of the family: Transfer RNA (tRNA) molecules are approximately 80 nucleotides in length. Their secondary structure includes four short double-helical elements and three loops (D, anti-codon, and T loops). Lineage: Archaea; Methanobacteriati; Methanobacteriota; Halobacteria; Halobacteriales; Haloarculaceae. The record is from Rfam by way of RNAcentral.